RNAcentral lists this ribosomal RNA (248 nucleotides) under uncultured Actinomycetales bacterium. RNAcentral describes it as "partial 16S ribosomal RNA". It matches the Rfam family "Bacterial small subunit ribosomal RNA", at positions 84 to 333 of the family's 1533-position model. The record is from RNAcentral. Lineage: Bacteria; Bacillati; Actinomycetota; Actinomycetes; Actinomycetales.
GGGGUGCUCGAGUGGCGAACGGGUGAGUAACACGUGAGUAACCUGCCCUUGACUUUGGGAUAACUUCAGGAAACUGGGGCUAAUACCGGAUAGGAGCUCCUGCUGCAUGGUGGGGGUUGGAAAGUUUCGGCGGUCGGGGAUGGACUCGCGGCUUAUCAGCUUGUUGGUGGGGUAGUGGCUUACCAAGGCUUUGACGGGUAGCCGGCCUGAGAGGGUGACCGGCCACAUUGGGACUGAGAUACGGCCAG